Molecule: long non-coding RNA, 227 nt
Filed under: Elaeis guineensis (African oil palm)
Lineage: Eukaryota; Viridiplantae; Streptophyta; Magnoliopsida; Arecales; Arecaceae
Description: long non-coding RNA (EGUI_LNC027715)
Source: RNAcentral
UCAUCACUAGUAGAUCAAAGCUACUGAGUAGCGAGCACAGCAACAACAGAGACUUGUCCUCCUCCUCUAGAGCCACACCUAAAUUAAGUAAAUUGAUACCCAACUGAUCAAAUCGCUGAACAUGCCCUAGUAUAUCUCCACCUCCUAUCCGAAGGCUAUAGAGCUAUUUUUUCAGUAUGAGUUAGUAGCACAUGUUCCUCCCGAUGUACAAGGUGUAUAAUCUUGAC